CCUACGGGGGGCAGCAGUGAGGAAUAUUGGUCAAUGGACGAGAGUCUGAACCAGCCAAGUAGCGUGAAGGAUGACUGCCCUAUGGGUUGUAAACUUCUUUUAUAUGGGAGUAAAAUGUUCCACGUGUGGGAUUUUGUAUGUACCAUAUGAAUAAGGAUCGGAUAACUCCGUUCCAGCCGCCGCGGUAAUACGGAGGAUCCGAGCGUUAUCCGGAUUUAUUGUGUUUAAAGGGAGCGAAGGUGGAUUGUUAAGUCAGUUGUGAAAGUUUGCGGCUCAACCGUAAAAUUGCAGUUGAAACUGGCAGGCUUGAGUAGAGUAGAGGGGGGCGGAAUUCGUGGUGUAGCGGUGAAAUGCGUAGAUAUGACGAAGAACUCCGAUUGCGAAGGCAGCUCACUGGACUGCAACUGACACUGAGGCUCGAAAGUGUGGGUAUCAAACAGGAUUAGAUACCCCUGUAGUC
Molecule: ribosomal RNA, 460 nt
Filed under: uncultured bacterium
Lineage: Bacteria
Description: partial 16S ribosomal RNA
Rfam family: Bacterial small subunit ribosomal RNA
Source: RNAcentral